GAUCAUGGCUCAGGAUGAACGCUGGCUACAGGCUUAACACAUGCAAGUCGAGGGGCAGCAUGAACUUAGCUUGCUAAGUUUGGUGGCGACCGGCGCACGGGUGAGUAACGCGUAUCCAACCUACCCUUGUCCAUCGGAUAACCCGUCGAAAGGCGGCCUAACACGAUAUGCGGUUCACCGCAGGCAUCUAACGUGAACGAAAUGUGAAGGAGAAGGAUGGGGAUGCGUCUGAUUAG
This 236-nucleotide ribosomal RNA is filed under the name uncultured bacterium. RNAcentral's name for it is "partial 16S ribosomal RNA". It matches the Rfam family "Bacterial small subunit ribosomal RNA", at positions 15 to 244 of the family's 1533-position model. The record is from RNAcentral.